RNAcentral lists this long non-coding RNA (577 nucleotides) under Citrus x clementina. Its description in RNAcentral is "Citrus clementina (C. clementina) long non-coding RNA (CCLE_LNC001148)". The record is from RNAcentral. Lineage: Eukaryota; Viridiplantae; Streptophyta; Magnoliopsida; Sapindales; Rutaceae.
UCCACUGCUAAAUAUGUUACCCUCAAGCCCGAAGCUUUAAACGAUAAGUCAGAGUCAAUAUCAGCAUUCAAACCUUUUCACUCUUCUGCUUUCCAAGCUCUGCAGAAUAGCCGUAGUUGUUCAUCUCAACAAGUGUUACCUGAAAAGACAGAUGACAUGGGACCGAACUCGUGUCAAUCACAAUUGAGAGGGUCACACCAUUCAGUUCAAGCAGAGAAUCACCACCACCACCACCACCACCACCAUCAUUAUCAUCAGCAUGGUCACAGCAUGCAUCUCCAUCAGUCCCCACAGGACCAUGAUGAUCUCUCGUCCAAGGCUAUGGCAGCUGCAGCUCCACAGUGUGGGUCAUCAAAUGUAUUUGAGAGCAACAAUGAUGGUGAUGUUGGAAAUUAUGAUGUGAACGGCCGUAUCUGUUCAUCUCAACCGCUUUUACCUGAAAAGACGGAUGAUAUGGGACUUAACUCAGGUCAAUCACAAUUGAGAGGGUCACACCAUUCAGUUCAAGUGGAGAAUCACCACCACCACUACCACCGUCAUUAUCAUCAGCACGACCACAACAUGCAGCAGUCACCAC